RNAcentral lists this ribosomal RNA (253 nucleotides) under uncultured bacterium. Its description in RNAcentral is "partial 16S ribosomal RNA". It matches the Rfam family "Bacterial small subunit ribosomal RNA", at positions 524 to 776 of the family's 1533-position model. The record is from RNAcentral.
UACAGAGGGUGCAAGCGUUAAUCGGAAUUACUGGGCGUAAAGCGCGCGUAGGUGGAUACUUAAGUCGGAUGUGAAAGCCCUGGGCUUAACCUGGGAACGGCACUCGAUACUGGGUAUCUAGAGUAUAGUAGAGGGAAGUGGAAUUUCCGGUGUAGCGGUGAAAUGCGUAGAUAUCGGAAGGAACACCAGUGGCGAAGGCGGCUUCCUGGACUAAUACUGACACUGAGGCGCGAAAGCGUGGGGAGCAAACAGG